RNAcentral lists this ribosomal RNA (405 nucleotides) under uncultured bacterium. Its description in RNAcentral is "bacterial SSU rRNA". It matches the Rfam family "Bacterial small subunit ribosomal RNA", at positions 370 to 772 of the family's 1533-position model. The record is from RNAcentral.
AAUGGACGGAAGUCUGAACCAGCCAUCCCGCGUGCAGGAAGAAGGUCCUAUGGAUUGUAAACUGCUUUUAGCAGAGACGAAGACCUUUCAUUUAUGAGAGAGUGACGGUAUCUGCGGAAUAAGCACCGGCUAACUCCGUGCCAGCAGCCGCGGUAAUACGGAGGGUGCAAGCGUUAUCCGGAAUCACUGGGUUUAAAGGGUGCGUAGGCGGGAGAUUAAGUCAGUGGUGAAAGCCUGUAGCUUAACUACAGAAUUGCCAUUGAUACUGAUUUUCUUGAAUUGGGUUGAGGUUAGCGGAAUGUGACAUGUAACGGUGAAAUGUUUAGAUAUGUCAUGGAACACCGAUUGCGAAGGCAGCUAGCUGGGCCUUGAUUGACGCUGAGGCACGAAAGCGUGGGUAGCGAA